RNAcentral lists this ribosomal RNA (429 nucleotides) under Bacteroidota bacterium. RNAcentral's name for it is "Bacteroidetes bacterium partial 16S ribosomal RNA". It matches the Rfam family "Bacterial small subunit ribosomal RNA", at positions 355 to 776 of the family's 1533-position model. The record is from RNAcentral. Lineage: Bacteria; Pseudomonadati; Bacteroidota.
UAGGGAAUCUUCCGCAAUGGACGCAAGUCUGACGGAGCAACGCCGCGUGAGUGAAGAAGGAUUUCGGUUCGUAAAACUCUGUUGUUAGAGUAGAACAGCGCAUAGAGUAACUGUUAUGCGUGUGACGGUAUCUAACCAGAAAGCCACGGCUAACUACGUGCCAGCAGCCGCGGUAAUACGUAGGUGGCAAGCGUUGUCCGGAUUUAUUGGGCGUAAAGCGAGCGCAGGCGGUCAAUUAAGUCUGAUGUGAAAGCCCCCGGCUCAACCGGGGAGGGUCAUUGGAAACUGGUUGACUUGAGUGCAGAAGAGGAGAGUGGAAUUCCAUGUGUAGCGGUGAAAUGCGUAGAUAUAUGGAGGAACACCAGUGGCGAAGGCGACUCUCUGGUCUGUAACUGACGCUGAGGCUCGAAAGCGUGGGUAGCAAACAGG